Capsicum annuum is the source of this 268-nucleotide long non-coding RNA. RefSeq lists it as uncharacterized. The record is from RefSeq and is a predicted model, not a curated record. Lineage: Eukaryota; Viridiplantae; Streptophyta; Magnoliopsida; Solanales; Solanaceae. The transcript is spliced from 2 exons.
AGUUACCAGUUGAUCUUCAUAGACAUUCUUCAGUUUCGGGUUGUUGGGUGAUUUGGUACUCCUAUUGAUCAGUUGUGAAGUGGUGAGCCUCUAUCCUUCAGAAGGUCCGGUCAUUUCAUUAGUUUUCUUAUAUUUAUAGCACUUUUGGAUUCUUUUUUUCAUAGUAGAGGGCAUGUCCUGACUUAGUUGGUAUUCUUAGAUUAGAGGCUUUUGUGGACAGUAUUGGGAUGUUAUAGUUGUUUGGUUUUAACUUUCAGCUUUUCAUGUA